This 1104-nucleotide ribosomal RNA is filed under the name Streptococcus thermophilus. RNAcentral describes it as "bacterial SSU rRNA". It matches the Rfam family "Bacterial small subunit ribosomal RNA", at positions 29 to 1118 of the family's 1533-position model. The record is from RNAcentral. Lineage: Bacteria; Bacillati; Bacillota; Bacilli; Lactobacillales; Streptococcaceae.
GUCAAUUUUCUACGUGCUAUACAUGCAAGUAGAACGCUGAAGAGAGGAGCUUGCUCCUUCUUGGAUGAGUUGCGAACGGGUGAGUAACGCGUAGGUAACCUGCCUUGUAGCGGGGGAUAACUAUUGGAAACGAUAGCUAAUACCGCAUAACAAUGGAUGACACAUGUCAUUUAUUUGAAAGGGGCAAUUGCUCCACUACAAGAUGGACCUGCGUUGUAUUAGCUAGUAGGUGAGGUAAUGGCUCACCUAGGCGACGAUACAUAGCCGACCUGAGAGGGUGAUCGGCCACACUGGGACUGAGACACGGCCCAGACUCCUACGGGAGGCAGCAGUAGGGAAUCUUCGGCAAUGGGGGCAACCCUGACCGAGCAACGCCGCGUGAGUGAAGAAGGUUUUCGGAUCGUAAAGCUCUGUUGUAAGUCAAGAACGGGUGUGAGAGUGGAAAGUUCACACUGUGACGGUAGCUUACCAGAAAGGGACGGCUAACUACGUGCCAGCAGCCGCGGUAAUACGUAGGUCCCGAGCGUUGUCCGGAUUUAUUGGGCGUAAAGCGAGCGCAGGCGGUUUGAUAAGUCUGAAGUUAAAGGCUGUGGCUCAACCAUAGUUCGCUUUGGAAACUGUCAAACUUGAGUGCAGAAGGGGAGAGUGGAAUUCCAUGUGUAGCGGUGAAAUGCGUAGAUAUAUGGAGGAACACCGGUGGCGAAAGCGGCUCUCUGGUCUGUAACUGACGCUGAGGCUCGAAAGCGUGGGGAGCGAACAGGAUUAGAUACCCUGGUAGUCCACGCCGUAAACGAUGAGUGCUAGGUGUUGGAUCCUUUCCGGGAUUCAGUGCCGAAGCUAACGCAUUAAGCACUCCGCCUGGGGAGUACGACCGCAAGGUUGAAACUCAAAGGAAUUGACGGGGGCCCGCACAAGCGGUGGAGCAUGUGGUUUAAUUCGAAGCAACGCGAAGAACCUUACCAGGUCUUGACAUCCCGAUGCUAUUUCUAGAGAUAGAAAGUUACUUCGGUACAUCGGUGACAGGUGGUGCAUGGUUGUCGUCAGCUCGUGUCGUGAGAUGUUGGGUUAAGUCCCGCAACGAGCCGCACCCCUAUUGUUAGUGGC